UUGCUCUCUGGGUGGCGAGUGGCGGACGGGUGAGGAAUACAUCGGAAUCUACUUUUUCGUGGGGGAUAACGUAGGGAAACUUACGCUAAUACCGCAUACGACCUACGGGUGAAAGCAGGGGAUCUUCGGACCUUGCGCGAUUGAAUGAGCCGAUGUCGGAUUAGCUAGUUGGCGGGGUAAAGGCCCACCAAGGCGACGAUCCGUAGCUGGUCUGAGAGGAUGAUCAGCCACACUGGAACUGAGACACGGUCCAGACUCCUACGGGAGGCAGCAGUGGGGAAUAUUGGACAAUGGGCGCAAGCCUGAUCCAGCCAUACCGCGUGGGUGAAGAAGGCCUUCGGGUUGUAAAGCCCUUUUGUUGGGAAAGAAAUCCAGCUGGCUAAUACCCGGUUGGGAUGACGGUACCCAAAGAAUAAGCACCGGCUAACUUCGUGCCAGCAGCCGCGGUAAACGAAGGGUGCAAGCGUUCUCGGAAUUACUGGGCGUAAAGCGUGCGUAGGUGGUCGUUUAAUCCGUUGUGAAAGCCCUGGGCUCACCUGGGAACUGC
This 547-nucleotide ribosomal RNA is filed under the name Stenotrophomonas maltophilia. RNAcentral's name for it is "bacterial SSU rRNA". It matches the Rfam family "Bacterial small subunit ribosomal RNA", at positions 76 to 624 of the family's 1533-position model. The record is from RNAcentral. Lineage: Bacteria; Pseudomonadati; Pseudomonadota; Gammaproteobacteria; Lysobacterales; Lysobacteraceae.